GUCCCCAUAGCUCAACGGACAGAGCGCAGCCCUGCGGAGGCUGAGAUCGAGGUUCGAUUCCUCGUGGGGAUACUA
This 75-nucleotide transfer RNA is filed under the name Candidatus Jorgensenbacteria bacterium CG10_big_fil_rev_8_21_14_0_10_54_38. RNAcentral describes it as "tRNA-Arg". It matches the Rfam family "tRNA". Rfam says of the family: Transfer RNA (tRNA) molecules are approximately 80 nucleotides in length. Their secondary structure includes four short double-helical elements and three loops (D, anti-codon, and T loops). Further hydrogen bonds mediate the characteristic L-shaped molecular structure. tRNAs have two regions of fundamental functional importance: the anti-codon, which is responsible for specific mRNA codon recognition, and the 3' end, to which the tRNAs corresponding amino acid is attached (by aminoacyl-tRNA synthetases). tRNAs cope with the degeneracy of the genetic code in two manners: having more than one tRNA (with a specific anti-codon) for a particular amino acid; and 'wobble' base-pairing, i.e. permitting non-standard base-pairing at the 3rd anti-codon position. Lineage: Bacteria; Candidatus Joergenseniibacteriota. The record is from RNAcentral. RNAcentral also lists the same sequence under 1 other name.